GCGUUGGUGGUACAGUGGUGAGCAUAGCUGCCUUCAAAGCACUUGACCCUGGUUUGAUUCCCGGCCAAUGCA
This 72-nucleotide transfer RNA is filed under the name Pelobates cultripes (western spadefoot toad). RNAcentral describes it as "tRNA.SeC". It matches the Rfam family "tRNA". From Rfam's summary of the family: Transfer RNA (tRNA) molecules are approximately 80 nucleotides in length. Their secondary structure includes four short double-helical elements and three loops (D, anti-codon, and T loops). Lineage: Eukaryota; Metazoa; Chordata; Amphibia; Anura; Pelobatidae. The record is from RNAcentral.